Molecule: ribosomal RNA, 253 nt
Filed under: uncultured bacterium
Lineage: Bacteria
Description: partial 16S ribosomal RNA
Rfam family: Bacterial small subunit ribosomal RNA
Source: RNAcentral
UACGUAGGGUGCGAGCGCUAAUCGGAAUUACUGGGCGUAAAGCGUGCGCAGGCGGUUUUGUAAGCCAGAUGUGAAAUCCCCGGGCUUAACCUGGGAAUGGCAUUUGGGACUGCAAGGCUUGAGUGCGGCAGAGGAGACUAGAAUUCCUGGUGUAGCAGUGAAAUGCGUAGAUAUCAGGAGGAAUACCGAUGGCGAAGGCAGGUCUCUGGGCUGACACUGACGCUCAUGCACGAAAGCGUGGGGAGCAAACAGG